AGCCAUCAUUUAAAGAAAGCGUAAUAGCUCACUGGUCGAGUCGGCCUGCGCGGAAGAUGUAACGGGGCUAAACCAUGCACCGAAGCUGCGGCAGCGAACGUAUCACUUAAAGCGAUUCAGCGGGUUACGAUUGACGGAGCGAAGCGACGUCAAAGCGUAUACAAAGUCGAGUCGGUUUAAGGAUACGUUCGUUGGGUAGGGGAGCGUUCUGUAAGCCUGCGAAGGUGGCCUGUGAGGGUUGCUGGAGGUAUCAGAAGUGCGAAUGCUGACAUAAGUAACGAUAAAGCGGGUGAAAAGCCCGCUCGCCGGAAGACCAAGGGUUCCUGUCCAACGUUAAUCGGGGCAGGGUGAGUCGACCCCUAAGGCGAGGCCGAAAGGCGUAGUCGAUGGGAAACGGGUUAAUAUUCCCGUACUUGGUGUUACUGCGAAGGGGGGACGGAGAAGGCUAUGUUGGCCGGGCGACGGUUGUCCCGGUUUAAGCGUGUAGGUGUGUGUUCCAGGUAAAUCCGGUUCACUUUAACACUGAGGCGUGAUGACGAGGCACUACGGUGCUGAAGCAACAAAUGCCCUGCUUCCAGGAAAAGCCUCUAAGCAUCAGGUAACAUCAAAUCGUACCCCAAACCGACACAGGUGGUCAGGUAGAGAAUACCAAGGCGCUUGAGAGAACUCGGGUGAAGGAACUAGGCAAAAUGGUGCCGUAACUUCGGGAGAAGGCACGCUGACACGUAGGUGAAGUGAUUUACUCAUGGAGCUGAAGUCAGUCGAAGAUACCAGCUGGCUGCAACUGUUUAUUAAAAACACAGCACUGUGCAAACACGAAAGUGGACGUAUACGGUGUGACGCCUGCCCGGUGCCGGAAGGUUAAUUGAUGGGGUCAGCGCAAGCGAAGCUCCUGAUCGAAGCCCCGGUAAACGGCGGCCGUAACUAUAACGGUCCUAAGGUAGCGAAAUUCCUUGUCGGGUAAGUUCCGACCUGCACGAAUGGCGUAAUGAUGGCCAGGCUGUCUCCACCCGAGACUCAGUGAAAUUGAACUCGCUGUGAAGAUGCAGUGUACCCGCGGCAAGACGGAAAGACCCCGUGAACCUUUACUAUAGCUUGACACUGAACAUUGAGCCUUGAUGUGUAGGAUAGGUGGGAGGCUUUGAAGCGUGGACGCCAGUCUGCGUGGAGCCGACCUUGAAAUACCACCCUUUAAUGUUUGAUGUUCUAACGUGGACCCGUAAUCCGGGUUGCGGACAGUGUCUGGUGGGUAGUUUGACUGGGGCGGUCUCCUCCUAAAGAGUAACGGAGGAGCACGAAGGUUGGCUAAUCCUGGUCGG
Molecule: ribosomal RNA, 1319 nt
Filed under: Salmonella enterica subsp. enterica serovar Anatum
Lineage: Bacteria; Pseudomonadati; Pseudomonadota; Gammaproteobacteria; Enterobacterales; Enterobacteriaceae
Description: partial 23S ribosomal RNA
Rfam family: Bacterial large subunit ribosomal RNA
Source: RNAcentral